CAGCCGCCGCGGUAAUACCAGCAGCCCAAGUGGUGGUCGCGAUUAUUGGGCCUAAAGCGCUCGUAGCCGGGCCGGUAAGUCCCUUGUGAGGUCGGACGGCCUAACCGUUCGGCGUGCAAGGGAUACUGUCGGUCUUGAGGCCGGGAGACGUCCGAGGUACUCCGGGGGUAGCGGUGAAAUGUUCUGAUCCUCGGGGGACCACCGGUGGCGAAGGCGUUCGACGAGAACGGGCCUGACGGUGAGGGGCGAAGGCUAGGGGAGCAAACGGGAUUAGAUACCCCCGUAGUCCCUGUCUCUUAUU
This 301-nucleotide ribosomal RNA is filed under the name uncultured bacterium. RNAcentral's name for it is "partial 16S ribosomal RNA". It matches the Rfam family "Archaeal small subunit ribosomal RNA", at positions 459 to 759 of the family's 1478-position model. The record is from RNAcentral.